RNAcentral lists this long non-coding RNA (212 nucleotides) under Lathyrus oleraceus (garden pea). Its description in RNAcentral is "Pisum sativum (pea) long non-coding RNA (PSAT_LNC040531)". Lineage: Eukaryota; Viridiplantae; Streptophyta; Magnoliopsida; Fabales; Fabaceae. The record is from RNAcentral.
UUUCUUUUCUUUCCUUUUUCUUCUUUUUCUUCUUUUUAGCAGGAUCGACCUCAACUCCUCUUUCGUUCACAAUAAGCCUCGACAACUUACCGGACAACACUCCACAAGUGCACUGGUUCGGACUCAACCUCAGUCUGAGUAGUUUCGAUCCGGUCAAACAAUUUGCCCCAGAUCCACCGGAUGCCCCUCUUCGGCUUGGGACUUUGCUAUCA